Molecule: RNA transcript, 2769 nt
Organism: Mangifera indica (mango)
Lineage: Eukaryota; Viridiplantae; Streptophyta; Magnoliopsida; Sapindales; Anacardiaceae
Gene name: DEAD-box ATP-dependent RNA helicase 3, chloroplastic-like
Exons: 13
Source: RefSeq, a predicted model, not a curated record
AGCUUAAUCGAAGGAGGUGGAGGUCUGCGAGGCCAUUCAUUAUCAAAAGACCGCCUUAUCUCUCAACUUCUUCUUCUUCACCUUAACGCUGCCAUCUACUCACUAAUUGUACUUCAAAAUGUCCGCUAUACUCGGAGUAUCUUCUACUCCCAUCUUGAAGGUCUACGCUAAACGAGCUACGACGUCGUCUUUGUUUCGCUCUUUGCCGUUUGCUGAUAAGCCUCAUUUCAAUGUUUUUAUAACUUCGAGCAAUAAGCCUUUGGUUUUUAGGAGCAGUGGCCUCGGCUUUGUUGCUUCGGCCAUAGCUACUUCUAACAACGUCCUCAGUGAAGAAGCGUUCAAAGGUCUUGGUGACUACUCCGACGAUUCCGGUUCUCUUGACAAGGAUUAUGAGUCUGAGGACGUUAGUGUGGACGAGGAUGAACUUGCCAUUUCUAAGAUUGGUUUACCUGAUCGUCUCGUUGAUACUCUUGAGAAGCGUGGCAUUACUCACCUUUUCCCCAUUCAGAGAGCUGUUUUAGUUCCAGCUCUACAAGGGAAAGAUUUGAUUGCUCGUGCAAAGACUGGAACUGGGAAGACAUUAGCCUUUGGAAUUCCGAUACUUAAGCGUCUUACUGAAGAUGCUGAUCAAGCUCCAUCUCUCAGUCGGGGUCGACUUCCAAAAGUUUUGGUUCUUGCACCGACUCGUGAGUUAGCCAAGCAAGUAGAGAAAGAAAUUAAAGAGUCUGCUCCUUAUUUGAACACUGUGUGUGUUUAUGGAGGGGUUUCAUAUAACACUCAACAAAAUGCUCUUGCCCGUGGGGUGGAUGUGGUUGUUGGAACUCCUGGUCGAAUCAUUGACCUUAUUAAAAAUAGGUCCCUCAGAUUGGGGGAAAUAGAGUUUUUGGUUCUUGAUGAAGCUGAUCAGAUGCUUGCUGUUGGAUUUGAGGAGGAUGUAGAAGUUAUUUUGGAAAAUCUUCCACCCAAGAGACAGAGCAUGCUUUUCUCUGCAACCAUGCCUGCUUGGGUCAAGAAAUUAUCUAGAAAGUAUUUGGACAAUCCUCUCAAUAUAGAUUUGGUUGGUGACCAAGAGGAGAAGCUUGCAGAAGGGAUUAAACUUUAUGCUAUAUCAACAACUGCAACCUCAAAGCGAACCAUUCUUAGUGAUCUUAUAACGGUAUAUGCAAAGGGUGGGAAGACCAUUGUAUUUACACAGACAAAACGAGAUGCUGAUGAAGUCUCAAUGGCAUUGACAAACAGUAUAGCUUCUGAGGCAUUGCAUGGAGAUAUAUCUCAACACCAGAGGGAGAGAACAUUAAAUGGUUUUCGACAAGGAAAAUUUACUGUUCUUGUUGCCACUGAUGUUGCAGCUCGUGGGCUUGAUAUUCCCAAUGUUGAUUUAAUUAUCCACUAUGAACUUCCAAAUGAUCCAGAGACUUUUGUUCAUCGCUCUGGUCGUACUGGGCGUGCGGGAAAGGAGGGGACUGCCAUUCUGAUGUUUACUAGUAGCCAAAGGAGAACAGUUAGAUCUCUUGAGCGUGAUGUUGGGUGUAAGUUUGAGUUUGUUAGUCCCCCGGCUAUUGAAGAGGUUUUGGAAUCAUCAGCUGAGCAAGUAGUUGCUACUCUUAAUGGAGUUCAUCCUGAGUCUGUGGAGUUCUUUGUCCCUACUGCUCAAAGGUUGAUUGAAGAACAAGGAAUGAAUGCUCUUGCUGCUGCACUAGCACAGUUGAGUGGAUUCUCACGGCCUCCUUCGUCCCGCUCUCUUAUUACCCAUGAGCAGGGAUGGGUGACAUUACAAUUGACAAGGGAUUCAGGUUACUCCAGAGGGUUCUUGUCUGCUAGAUCUGUCACUGGGUUACUUUCUGCCAUUUAUCCUGCUGCUGCUGAUGAACUAGGAAAAAUAAAUAUAAUUGCUGAUGACAGGGUUCAAGGAGCAGUUUUUGACCUUCCGGAGGAGAUUGCCAAGGAGUUGCUGAAUAAGCAAAUACCACCUGGGAACACCAUUUCCAAAAUUACUAAGUUGCCUGCCUUGCAAGAUGAUGGGCCUUCAAGUGAUAACUAUGGCAGAUUCUCUAAUAGGGAUAGGUUUUCCCGAGGAGGUUCCUGGGACAAGAGAGGUUUUAGACCAUCUCGUGGUGGUUGGAGCAGCAAUGAUGAGGAUGGAUAUAGGCGUGGUAGUCGAAGUUCUAGAGCUCAAAAUAGCUGGUCUAGGUUUUCAAAAAGCAGUGGAGAUGAUUGGUUGAUUGGUGGUAGGAGAUCAAGCAGGCCAUCAUCCAGGGAAAGAAGCAGUGGAGAUGAUUGGUUGAUCGGUGGUAGUAGAUCAAGCAGGCCAUCAUCCAGGGAAAGUGAUCUUUGUUUUCAAGAAGCAGUGGAGAUGAUUGGUUGAUCGGUGGUAGUAGAUCAAGCAGGCCAUCAUCCAGGGAAAGUGGAGAUGAUUGGUUGAUCGGUGGUAGUAGAUCAAGCAGGCCAUCAACUCGGGAAAGAUUUGGAGGUUCUUGUUUCAACUGUGGGAGGUCCGGGCACAGAGCAUCAGAAUGCCCUAACAAGACACAGUACUAAUUUUUUAAAUUGAAGCCUCCUGUUUCAACAGGAGGCGUCCUGGGAGCAGACCACUAGAAUACGAUGAAUAUUAUUAAGACUUGUCUGGUCUAUGUGCGAGGCCUCUGUUACCAAGCUUUACUUUGUAUUAGUUUCAUAGCAGCCGUAGGCCACGCAUUCAGUCUUAUUAUAGUCACAGGAAUCAAUAUCUUCGUAUUUAUCUGAUUAUAUAGAAGAAGUAUAGUUAUCUCA